CAAUACUGACAAUGGCAAACAGCCACUUUAUUGGUGGUGGUGUUUUUAUGUCAGUCAGGAGCAGAGCAAAUGGCAGUUCUUUGUUCAUCCUAGCUUGAUGCCUGGCUUGAUGGCCAAAGCUUUCUUAUGCCCAGGACUCAUAA
Molecule: small nucleolar RNA, 143 nt
Organism: Acomys russatus (golden spiny mouse)
Lineage: Eukaryota; Metazoa; Chordata; Mammalia; Rodentia; Muridae
Product: small nucleolar RNA SNORA48
Exons: 1
Source: RefSeq, a predicted model, not a curated record